CCUACGGGAGGCAGCAGUGAGGAAUAUUGGUCAAUGGCCGGAAGGCUGAACCAGCCAAGCCGCGUGAGGGAGGAAGGCGCAGAGCGUCGCAGACCUCUUUUGCCGGGGAACAAAAGGCCGGACUCGUCCGGUCCUGAGGGUACCCGGAGAAUAAGCCACGGCCAACUACGUGCCAGCAGCCGCGGGAAUACGUAGGUGGCAAGCGUUAUCCGGAUUUACUGGGGGUAAAGGGCGUGUAGGCGGGACUGCAAGUAAGAUGUGAAAACGAUGGGCUCAAACCAUGGCCUGCAGUUGAAACUGUAGUUCUUGAGUGUUGGAGAGGCAGGCGGAAUGCGGGGUGUAGCGGUGAAAUGCGUAGAUAUACGGAAGAACCCCGGUGGCGAAGGCGGCCUGCUGGAGAAUAACUGACGCUGAGGCGCGAAAGCGUGGGGAGCGAACAGGAUUAGAUACCCCGGUAGUC
RNAcentral lists this ribosomal RNA (460 nucleotides) under uncultured bacterium. RNAcentral's name for it is "partial 16S ribosomal RNA". It matches the Rfam family "Bacterial small subunit ribosomal RNA", at positions 338 to 795 of the family's 1533-position model. The record is from RNAcentral.